UGACGUUUAUGUUUAUAUAAUUAGAUUACAACUAAGUUUGUGUAUGGCUUGUUUAUAUUAUUUCAGAAUUUGCUAUUUUAGACACUUGGUAUAAGCUGUCAUACUACACGUGGCAUGUGGUAUCCCACUAAUUAGCUGUUUUAAACAUGUGACAAGUGGUAUGACACUGUAUUGAUGUAUGUGAAAUGUAUAGAGUCUUUCAGUUAUCAGAUAAUGUCAAGGAGUUGACAGCAUGGUGUCCGAUUUAAAGUGCGAACCUGUGUACGAGUAACAACAGUAUUCAAAACCAAAACCUAUUUAAACCAACCAAACAAAAACUAGAGACCAAAAACUAUCUUGGCAUUGGUUUAUUUUAA
Long non-coding RNA from Hydra vulgaris (swiftwater hydra), 356 nucleotides. RefSeq lists it as uncharacterized. NCBI's taxonomy places the organism in Eukaryota, Metazoa, Cnidaria, Hydrozoa, Anthoathecata, Hydridae. The record is from RefSeq and is a predicted model, not a curated record.